AACCAUUGUGUAAGCUGCUCCGUCGGCGCCAGGUUUCUGUCGUCAGACUCUUGGUGGUAUUUAAUCUAUAUUGCUGAAGACAUUACGUUUCGCUCUCACUUCUUUUUGUACUCGAAUUUUUUUAAUCGUUAUGGUCCAGCUUUGACGUUAAAUCGCUAGCUCUUACACAGCUGGCCAGGUAUGCUUUCACGUAGACUUCUUGGAGGAUAGGCGAUCCUGCUUCAACGGGGAUCCCCCAUCUUAAGCAGCCCGAAGAUACAUUUUUCUGCCAAAAUCAAGAAGCUUGUUUCUGCCCCCAGUAUUCUCUGUGCCUGUGUCAGCUAUGGAGACCACUGAGGUAACUGUGGCUGUCAGAGGAGAAACAUCCCCAGGGGAGGUGAUUGCAGUUGUUGGUAGCUGUGAAUCCCUGGGAGGCUGGAGCCAUGAAAAAGCAGUGAUCUUACAUCCUCAUGGGAAUGAUGGAAAUACUUGGACCACAACAAUCACUGUGCCUAAAGGAGUUGUCGCCAAGUACCGCUAUCUCAAAGGUUUCUUCCUUGAGUCAAAGAGUGCAGGUGGUCCCUAUCAAGUGAUAGUCAAUAUGUGGGAGACCCAUCAACACCCGCGCACGAUGAGCCCCACAGGAUCCCACCAGAAUAUUGACGAUGGACAGUUUGGAAUUCACAACGGGGUGAAUUGUGUGGACUCUGGCUGGCUCACGUGCCAGACUGAGAUUCGUCUGCGCCUGCACUAUUCUAAGACUUCUCCAGUAUCAAUUACUAAGAAGAAAUUCAAGAAGUCACGCUUCAGAAUCAAGCUGACGUUAGAGGGGUUUGAGGAGGAGGAUGAAGAUGAAGAUGAGGAGGAAGAAGGCCAGCUUAGUCCUGCCUCUUUGCUCAGGGAGACCACCACUCUGGAGAUCAGCAUGAUCAGUGCCAACGGCUAUAAGUCCCGCCACUCGCAGCCUGAAUGUGGCAAUGCACUGGAGCCCUCCCAGUGGACCGAGUACAACAUCCACACAAUGGACCCCUACAACCUGGAGCUCACCUUUGAGUUCUUUGAGGAGGAUAUGGGUGAGCAUGUAGUCCAGGGUGAUGCACAUCCAGGAUUUGUGGGCACAGCUUGCCUCCUCUCCUCCUCUUUCGCGGAGAGCGGUAAGGACUUUGGAGUAGCCACACUUCCCAUAAUGGGCCGAAAUUCCAGACAGACCAUCGGAAAAGUCAGAGUGGAUUACCUGGUGAUGCGGCCUAUCCAGGGUUUGCAUUGUGACAUGAGCUCCUCCUUCACCAAGUACUGGAAGAAAAGAAGUACUCUGGAUGUGGGUCACAGAGGAGCUGGCAGCACACACGCAGCCAAGCACCACAGAGUUAGGGAGAACACCAUAGCCUCAUUCAAAAGCGCUGCCCAGCAUGGCGCUGCCUACGUAGAGUUUGAUGUUCACCUCUCCAAAGAUUCUGUUCCCAUCGUAUACCACGAUCUGACAUGCUGCAUUUCCACCAAGAAGAAAAAUGACAAGACUUCUCUGGAGCUUAUUGAGGUGCCAGUCAAAGACUUGACCUAUGAUCAGCUGCAGCUUCUGAAGCUGGCCCAUGCCGCCGCAAUAAAAGAAAACAAUGACAAAGUCUCUUCAGAUUUGCCGGACGAUGAAGAAGAGGUUGAUGAACAUCAGCCAUUCCCUUCACUCACACAGAUCUUCCAAGCUAUUCCUGAGCAUGUGGGCUUCAACAUUGAGCUUAAAUGGAUUUCCCAGAUGAAGGACGGGUCAUGGGAUGGCAACCUAUCCUCCUACUUCAACAUGAAUACCUACCUGGAUAUCAUCCUGUCCUGUGUCCUGCAAAGAGGCGGGAAAAGACGUAUUGUCUUCUCCUGCUUUGACCCAGAUAUCUGCACCAUGGUGCGUCAAAAACAGAACAAGUACCCCAUCCUCUUCCUCACUCAGGGAAUUUCCAAGAAGUAUCCUGAACUGAUGGACAUCCGCUGCCAGACCACUCAGAUCGCCAUAAGUUUCGCCCAGAGUGAGAAUAUUAUGUGGAUUUCCUUACUUGCUCUUUCUAGGGAAUCAGUGCCCACACUGAGGAGCUGUUGAAGAACCUUUCCUACAUUGGGGAUGCCCAGUCUAAAGGCCUGGUGGUGUUCAGCUGGGGGGAGGACAACAACGAGCACGAGACCAGGAGGACGCUGAGGGAGCAGGGAAUCGAUGGCCUCAUCUACGAUAGCAUCUGUGAGGAGAAGGGGGAGCAACCUAACCUCUUUCAGGUAGAGGAGCAACACACUCUGCAGGAGGUGAUAACAGAGGAGACACGCAACAGCUCCUCCUGUUCCUGCUACUCCAUCCCCUGCUCCAUGGCUCCCUGCGUUUCCUCCAAGGUCUGUUCUGGCAGCGGAGAGUCUGAUUCCGGCCUCAGCUCCUCUUAACUUAGGUCUUAGUGGAGCAAUUUGGGAAUGGAUCAGCCAACGAAACAACAGAUUCUGUCUUUUGUCUUGCAUGUCCACAAAUUGUAAUUUAUGCUUUCUAUUGAAAUAGGUGGAUGUUUUGCCAAAACAUUAAGACAGCCAUGUUUUUAGUUUUUUCAGGCCGAGGUCUUCAUAAUAGUGGAACAAUGGGAAAUCUUACAUGACAGUGAAUAUUUUUUAUUUGGCUAAUAUGUUGCAUCACUUCGAGUGCUCAAAUUCUGGUACUUUUGAUAUUUUCUUUACAGCUCUAACAGAGCUGUAAAUUCAAGUCCUAAACUUUAUAAAGAUGAAGCCUAAUGCUGUUUUCUGUUUCUGCUGUGCAUGUAGCCAUUACUUUAAAAGUGUUAUUUUUAUUGUAUCGCUUAGCAAUGAGUAUUAGCUACUGAUUGCUAUUUCAGGUUCACCACAAAAAUCAUUUGGGAGUUAUAGGUUGUCACUAAUGGACACGUAGAUUAUCUACUGCAAGUAUAAGAGAACUGAUUAAUUUAUUUCCUUUUCAGUGGACUGUCGAAAGCACUUACUCCUCCUUUCCACACGAAAUGCUUAUGUCUGUAAAGAACUCAUAGCUAUUAUUGUAAACAGCAUUAUGGAUGCACUAUAUCCUUAAUUCUUUCUACAUACUUGAUUAGUGGAAAAACAGAUGAAUGUUUUAUUUGACAGUGCACACACACAGCCUUAAGGAAAGGAGGGGGAGGUCAGGCCUGUUUCUGUUUUUUUUGUUUUAAACCGCCAAUACCUCACUCCUCAUCGAUUAGAUUAGAUUAGAUUAGAAUAGACUUGAGUUGAGAUGUACGUACAGAAUUAAGAAAUACUCCCUUUAUGUUCUUCUUAUAAAUUGUACUUAACUUCACCUCACCCAUGCUUUUUAUUGCACGGAAGAUAUACCUUUUUGGUGCUAACUACGCUUGAAGUGUUUCAUCAUUUGCAUAUUGAUAUGGUGUAUUAAUAUAACGCAAUGAUAAUGCAGCAUUUUGAUCACAGCAAAACAAAUCCAUUUACUGGCUGUAUAUCGUCUUGCUGUCAGUAUAUGGGCACAAUCUCUUUACUACAUACAGUAAUGAUUGAGUUGUGCAUGGUCUGUAUGAAUCAAUGAGUCUAGUGUGUAAAAACUGUCAUUUCAGGGCAGAAGGGUGUAAAAGGUAUUUUAAAUAAAAUUAAAACCUAUAUUUGUUUA
Molecule: RNA transcript, 3607 nt
Organism: Trematomus bernacchii (emerald rockcod)
Lineage: Eukaryota; Metazoa; Chordata; Actinopteri; Perciformes; Nototheniidae
Gene: gpcpd1
Gene name: glycerophosphocholine phosphodiesterase 1
Exons: 20
Source: RefSeq, a predicted model, not a curated record